This 406-nucleotide ribosomal RNA is filed under the name uncultured bacterium. RNAcentral describes it as "partial 16S ribosomal RNA". It matches the Rfam family "Bacterial small subunit ribosomal RNA", at positions 30 to 526 of the family's 1533-position model. The record is from RNAcentral.
AUUGAACGCUGGCGGCAGGCCUAACACAUGCAAGUCGAACGAGUGGCGGACGGGUGAGUAAUGUCUGGGAAACUGCCUGAUGGAGGGGGAUAACUACUGGAAACGGUAGCUAAUACCGCAUAACAUCAGAUGUGCCCAGAUGGGAUUAGCUGGUUGGUGGGGUAACGGCUCACCAAGGCGACGAUCCCUAGAUGGUCUGAGAGGAUGACCAGCCACACUGUAACUUUGACAUGUUCCAGACUCCUACGGGCGUCAGCAGUGGGGAAUAUUGCACAAUGGGCGCAAGACUGAUGCAGCCAUGCCGCGUGUAUGAAGAAGGCCUUCGGGUUGUAAAGUACUUUCAGCGGGGAGGCGUUACCCGCAGAAGAAGCACCGGCUAACUCCGUGCCAGCCGCCGCGGUAAUAC